GGGGGAACAAAAACCACCCCGGGCCAUCCCAGCCAUGCAACGCCAGGGACUUGUUCUGCCCAGCAUUAGCAGGCCCCAGUAUCUAACCCCUAACGUUAUUUACCAGCUAACAUCAGAGAUGUCCUUUCGCCGUUUCAUGACAAAUGCCUCCAAGUAUUGUUUAUGUGAUUAUAUAGAAAAACUCAAACCAUUGCUGCCAAGAGAACAAAAUACAUCCAAU
This 220-nucleotide unclassified non-coding RNA is filed under the name Hevea brasiliensis (rubber tree). Lineage: Eukaryota; Viridiplantae; Streptophyta; Magnoliopsida; Malpighiales; Euphorbiaceae. The record is from RNAcentral.